CGGCAGAAAUGCUAAUGCUUCUCCAAAAUCUACUCAUUCAUAUAUAGUACAAUUUCAGAUAUCACACCAUCAUCAUAAAACAAAAUCUGAAAACUGUCCAUGAAAUUUGCUCAAUACCCUUAACUCCCUUUAGACUCCACAAUUGCUUUCAUCUAUUUCAGUUCCCAAUACUGCUUUGUACAAGUUACCAACUCAACAUCUAAAAAAUGAGGGUAAACGCAGAAACAAAAAUGAAAGAGGACUCCAAACAUGUAUACAUGAAUAUAUUACAAGAAAACUUAUGCUAUAGUUAUGAUAACCUUCAAAUUCAAUUAACAUGAAUUAUGCAAAGAUUGGCUGCAACACAUUAUACAUAAAGUGGAAUACCAUACCGAUCAACAGAUGAAGGCUGCAAUGCACGGAUUUUAACAUCAUAUUUUCGAAGUUUGGAUUCAUUGACAGAGGAUGAAUCUGAACCAUCUGAUACUAGUGGAUAAGCUGAAGUUUCAUCAUCAUAGGCAACUCCAAUAUUAUUGCCACAUUUACGGCAAAGAAGUUUGGUUCUCCUACGGAACAAUCCCCAUGAGUUCUUUGAAAAGUAGGGGAUACAUUGGAAUUCUUCAGCCUGAGUAAA
Molecule: unclassified non-coding RNA, 613 nt
Filed under: Hevea brasiliensis (rubber tree)
Lineage: Eukaryota; Viridiplantae; Streptophyta; Magnoliopsida; Malpighiales; Euphorbiaceae
Source: RNAcentral